Long non-coding RNA from Homo sapiens (human), 636 nucleotides. Ensembl annotates it as HOXD antisense growth-associated long non-coding RNA. Its record names the gene HAGLR. Lineage: Eukaryota; Metazoa; Chordata; Mammalia; Primates; Hominidae. The record is from Ensembl.
GUGCCGCGCGCCCGCCAGACCGCCCAGGAGGCGGCGGCUAUUGUUCCCCGCAGGGGCCCGGGGCGCCCUGAAACGGGGUCCACGUCAGCCCGCUCCCGAGCGUGUCCUCAGGUCUAAGGACGGGUGGGGCUUCCUUUGUGUGUUCUCUGGAAGGGGCUGGGAUGGCGUCGUUGCUGCCCCAAGGGGUAACCGAGGGGGAUUGAGGGAAGAUGGUACCAGCUCCCUAGAGCUCAGCUCACCAGACCUACUCUUCCGCUCGACCCUUGCAGAGGAGGUGGGGACGGAUAUGGUAUUUGUAGGGCAGCGCUGUGAACAAUGGAGCCAUCAAAAAGGCCUUCUCCCAGCCUCCUCACCAACCACGGACAUUCCUGGCCCAACAAGACCUCCUGGCCAGGUUUUGAGCCCUGCUUCCCAGUUUCUGAAAGAAGGACCAAAGUAAUGCCAAGAACUCCCAGAUGAAGAGGACCUUCCUUAGACCUAUAACAGAUUCACUACUUGACUUCAGAGGGAAGUUUCAGCUAAUUCUCAGGAAAAGGUCAAAACAGGCCUGUGACUGUCCCUUGAAUACUGAAGGUAUAAACAAGCUUCUGGCUCCUCCAGGUCAAGCAGAGGAACACUUUUAUUAGAAUGAAGGGU